Molecule: ribosomal RNA, 1297 nt
Filed under: Tanaocerus koebelei
Lineage: Eukaryota; Metazoa; Arthropoda; Insecta; Orthoptera; Pneumoridae
Description: large subunit ribosomal RNA
Rfam family: Archaeal large subunit ribosomal RNA (bases 861-1222)
Source: RNAcentral
AAUUAAUUAUUAUUUUUAUUUGUUGUUCAUUUAGUAUUUAAUUGAAAUAACUUUGAUUAAUUUGUGUUAUAGUAUAUUUUAUAGAAAAAAUUGUUUAAAUUAUAGUUUAUUUGUAAUGUAAAUGUUUUAUUAAUCAAUAUUUUAAUGAAAAGUAGACUUAAAUUGUUGUACCUUUUGUAUCAGGGUUUUUCAAAAAUUUAUUAUUUAUUUGAUUUUCUCGAUUUGAAUAGAUUUAUAAGGUUAUUAAAGUUAAUGUUGAAUAUUUAUUUUUAAUAGUUUUAUUGAGGUGAUAUGUCAUUCGUAUUUCAAGGUAUCUAGUUUCUUAAGUUAAAAUUUAAUUUUAUCACCAGUUGUUUUAAUUUAUUUAUAUAAUUUAAUAUAACUGGUGUUUUAUAUUUUAGGGGAUAAGCUCUGGAAUAUUUCUAUAAUAUUUAUAUUUGAGUAUAAUUGUAGGCUUUGAACCAGCCAACGUAUUUGAUUUCGUUUUAGUUCAUUAUAAUUAAUUAUGAUUUAUUAAUAUAUUUAGAUUUACAAUUAAGAUGAUUUCACUAAUAAUUAUUGUUAUGUAAUAAUGGAUAAAUUAGUAUAGAAUUAUGUAGUUUGUUUCCCAUAUAGAUAACUUACUAUAAGGAAUUAGGCAAUAUAAUUCUCGCCUGUUUAUCAAAAACAUGUCUUUUUGAUUAUAAUAUUAAGUCUGGCCUGCUCACUGAUUAAUUAAAGAGCCGCGGUAUUUUGACCGUGCAAAGGUAGCAUAAUCAUUAGUCUUUUAAUGAAGGCUGGUAUGAAUGGUUUGACGAGGAAUUAACUGUCUCUUAGUAAUUGAUGGAAUUUAACUUUUGAGUUAGAAGGCUCAAAUGUUUUUUGAGGACGAGAAGACCCUAUAGAGCUUUAUAUAUUUAUGUAAUGUAUUUUUUGGAUUGUUUUUUUACAUGCAUUAGUUAUAUUUUGUUGGGGUGACAUAAAGGAUAAUUAAACUCUUUAUUUUGUAAUCAUUAAUUAAUGAUUAAUUGAUCCAUAAUUUAUGAUCAUAAGAUUAAGUUACCUUAGGGAUAACAGCGUAAUUAAUUUUGAGAGUUCAUAUUGACAAAUUAGAUUGCGACCUCGAUGUUGGAUUAAGAUGGAUUCUGGGUGCAGAAGCCCAGCGAUUAGGUCUGUUCGACCUUUAAAUUCUUACAUGAUCUGAGUUCAGACCGGCGUAAGCCAGGUCGGUUUCUAUCCUAAAAUAUAAUUUUUAUGUUAGUACGAAAGGACCAUAUAAUUGAAAUAUUUUUUUUUCUAGUGAUUAUGAUUAAUUGUU